ACUCGCGCGCUCGCUUCCAGCCACCCGAUGAUGGAGCGGCCGCCGUGCGCCCUGCUGCUGGGUGCAGCCGGACUCCUGCCCCUGCCCCUGCCCCUGCCCCUGCCCCUGCCCCUGCCCCUGCCCCUGCCCCUGCCCCUGCCCCUGCCCCUGCCCCUGCCCCUGCCCCUCUCAUCUUCGGAAGCCGCGGGGAGAAGGCCAUCACCCAGGUCAGCAAGGGCACCUGCGAGCAAGGCCCACUUUGCUCUUCCAAAGACUGCAUUGCCUUUACUGAAGGCUAGCUACAUCGAUGGCACACCACAUGAACAUGAUGAGUCGUCCUGUGAAGGAACCAAGCCAUCUGCAAUACAACCGCUGUUUGGAAACUUCAUCUUCUUACUGAGCUUGGCUGUCUGCUACAUGCUCCCUGUGGAGUGGAACAUCCGCAGACAUUUUAAAGGAACAGCUUUGUGUCCCACCAAAGGCACCCAUCCCUGGGUCUCUUAAGCUGCCAGGCGUCAGUGCUGUUUUGCACAGACGAUGCUAUUAAUAGCAUUGCAGUCUUUGGUUUCAAUGUAGAGGCUCUCAGGGACUUACCCUGGGAAUAGAGACAUCAGCAGAUUUCCAGAUGUUUCUUGGUUAUUGGAAUACCCUGACAGAUUUUUAGCUGUCAUGUCCUUCAGUCCAGCAAUCCAGAUGUUCUUUCUCUGCCAUUUGUCAUGGGGUAUAGCCAGGAUCUUAACUACUAGACACCUCUAGUAUUCUAAUAGAGUGUUAAUGGCAUUGGCAACACAGGGUAUGAGAAAUAACCUCAAUUUAAGUUAUUUUGUGGCAUCAGAACACAGUGCCAUUUAUGCUUUCUGUAAAAAUAUCCUUUGUAUCUUCCAGCUUCUGGCACUACUGACUUUGGAUCUGUGGGCAGUAUUUGGAUCAAGAGCAGUACUGUUACAGAUUGAAAACUCAGGGAGACGCACACACAUGUUAGUUUCAGACUUCUGUGUUCCUGAGGAUUGCUUUAACUUGUGAUCUCCCUGGCCCUGCCUCCCCAGGGCUGGAUUUGUAGAAAUGCACAACCAUGCCUGGUUCAUGUGUGCUGAGGACCAAUCCCAGGGUUCUAUGCAUGCUGGGUGCUGAUGACUGAACACUUAGACUCACACAUCAUAUGUGGACACUGCUGAUAUUGGAUGAUGUCAAGGUUCAGAAGACCUUCCAGAGGAUUUCGAGGAUCUUCUGUCCUCAAGGAAUCGAUUACAGAUUUCUACUUGCAGAAAAGCUCAGCUGGACACAGCUCAAGUGAGCUGCACAUAUAUUCUCCCUCUACAACCCACUAUAAAGGAGUGGAUGCUCUCUGGAACAUUCUAACCCCACUGCAGAGGCUCAGAACAGAGUAACAAUCACUGGUGUGGACAAUGUAUCUAAGGCUUAAGCUGUCUUGGAGAUGUCAGCAGUCAUCAUCAUUGUGGGACGCCUGACUUGCCAGCAAGAAAGACGCCACAGCAGGAUCCUUCUGCAACACGUUUAUUGGGAGAGCAUUGACUGCGUAGGCAAAAGACCCCGAGCCCCAGAACUGGUGCUGUUUAUAUAGGCCUAGGAGUGACGUGUCCACACCUGAUUGGUUGUGCCCUCAGCACCUCAUUCACGUGCCUUGGACCAGGCAGUGACUCAGCAAAAAACUCUAUGGUACAUGCACACAUUGGUUGUUUACCCAUAUUCAUGGGCGUCGGCUUAUUGAAACUAGCGCCAUUUUGUAAUGGCGUUUGUGGCUUCCCACAUCUCUUGUAAUGGCGUUUGCAGCUUCCCACAUCUCCCCCUUUUUAUUUUAAUAAAAUGAUGCUGGACUAGG
RNAcentral lists this long non-coding RNA (1819 nucleotides) under Mus musculus (house mouse). Its description in RNAcentral is "predicted gene, 46840 (Gm46840)". The record is from RNAcentral. Lineage: Eukaryota; Metazoa; Chordata; Mammalia; Rodentia; Muridae.